Long non-coding RNA from Symsagittifera roscoffensis, 997 nucleotides. RefSeq lists it as uncharacterized. The transcript is spliced from 3 exons. The record is from RefSeq and is a predicted model, not a curated record. NCBI's taxonomy places the organism in Eukaryota, Metazoa, Xenacoelomorpha, Acoela, Convolutidae.
UGUUCAAAACAAUUGUGAUGUUUUUUUAGUACCAGACGUUUUUACUUAAGUGUGAGUCUAAUAAAAAAAAUUCAAUUUCAUAAUAUUCAUCGAAACUAUAUGCCAAAAAUUAAUUGGGCCACUUAAACAAACAGACGGACCAUUCAGGGCUUCGCCUUGCUACGAGCAGUCUUGAAUUCUAUUUCUGUGAUUAAUAUCGUUUCAUAAUUCAAGCAAACACACGAAUAAAUGAAUGAUUCUUUCGAAACAGAAACUGUAUUACGCUAUACAGCUGUAAUAACUUCAAUUUGGUCCAUUUACCAGACUUCAAGAAAUUUUUACCGGCUUGCUGCCAAAAUUGAAAACGGAAAAGCGAAAGACUUUGAUAUAUUUUACAUACCUUUGUUACUACUGUUCAUAUCUACAGCUCUGUUAGUACUUCAUUUCGCUGGUGUGAAAAGAAACUUGGCCGAAGAAGAUCAAGAUUGCUACACGGCACUGGCCAUGUUUAUCUUCUCCAUACUAGGUGGCUGCUAUUGCCAAAUUGCAAUCAACUGGCUCGAAAUAACAGUCAACGAUCGGCAACUCGCCACUUCAACCAAUCACAAAAAAGUGCUCGGUAUAUUUUUAUCCAUCAGUUUCGUCGAACUAGUAGUCUGUAUUAUGAUGAACAAGACUUCUCUCAACUCCAGUGAAAAUUCAUCAUCAGGCGAAUGUCACUUUUCCGACCUAAGCAAAUCGACAGCUGGGUUGUUCAUCAAACAACUCAUACUCAGCUCCGGCGCAGCUGUAAUUUUCCUAUUUUCAGUUCUGCUAGCCCCCAAUAAAGCUUACCAAAUGUGGAAAAACAACACGUUUCUCUUACAAACCAGAGGGAAAAUUGACAUCAUAUCAAAUUUCGGAGAUUUGAUGAGAGAGAACAUGAUUGGCUUAUGCAUCUGCAUCCUCUACAUAAUUCGUUUUCGAUUGAGAGUAGCAGGAAACGCACUGGAUGAAGGAAAAGUUUUUGACAACAAUA